UCUUUUUCCUCACCCUCGUAAGACUACCCGCUGAACUUAAGCAUAUCAAUAAGCGGAGGAAAAGAAACCAACAGGGAUUGCCUCAGUAACGGCGAGUGAAGCGGCAAAAGCUCAAAUUUGAAAUCCCCCGGGAAUUGUAAUUUGAAGAGAUUUGGGUCCGGCCGGCAGGGGUUAAGUCCACUGGAAAGUGGCGCCACAGAGGGUGACAGCCCCGUGAACCCCUUCAACGCCUUCAUCCCAGAUCUCCAAGAGUCGAGUUGUUUGGGA
This 267-nucleotide ribosomal RNA is filed under the name Metschnikowia bicuspidata var. bicuspidata. RNAcentral describes it as "partial 28S ribosomal RNA". It matches the Rfam family "Eukaryotic large subunit ribosomal RNA", at positions 1 to 279 of the family's 3401-position model. The record is from RNAcentral. Lineage: Eukaryota; Fungi; Ascomycota; Pichiomycetes; Serinales; Metschnikowiaceae.